UUUAAUUUAACAUUGGUUAUAUGUUAAAGGGUAAAAUCGUCCCAUCACUUUCUAUCAAACAUCAAACAUUAAAACUAAGCAAAAAUCCUCAAAAACUUUAACCAUCAGAAUCGUUCGGAAGAGACUCAACGAAAUCCCCAAAUUCGAUCGACAAAAACCUUAGGUCGAAGAAUCAAAAAUUGCGCAACGACUCUAUACCUUUUCAGUCGAUCGGCGUUGAUAAUGUGCUUUGAAUAUAAAAGUACUAGUUUAAGAGAUUCACCUGGUUCGUUCAAAUCUAAUUUGAUCUUUGAGUUUCUAUUUUUGUUAUGUUUAUGUGUUGAGUUUUAACAAUUUGUAUUAUUAAUCACAGAGGAAGAUGGACAUAUGGACUUACAAGUAUCGGUUAGAUUACGGAGCCGGAUAAUAAAGAAAGAUCGAGAACGGGAUCGGGAUGGGGACGGGGACGGGGACGGGGACGGGGACGGGGACGGGGACGGGGAGAGAGAGCGGUCGAUUGGGUAGGAGUAAUUAGAGGAAAAGGGAGAGGUUGAU
RNAcentral lists this long non-coding RNA (534 nucleotides) under Panax ginseng (ginseng). Its description in RNAcentral is "long non-coding RNA (PGIN_LNC018321)". Lineage: Eukaryota; Viridiplantae; Streptophyta; Magnoliopsida; Apiales; Araliaceae. The record is from RNAcentral.